Podarcis lilfordi (Lilford's wall lizard) is the source of this 4855-nucleotide non-coding RNA. Lineage: Eukaryota; Metazoa; Chordata; Lepidosauria; Squamata; Lacertidae. The record is from the annotation of a GenBank genome assembly.
GGUUUAUAGGAUUUAUUACAAAUCAAAAAAACAUAAAGAGAUAAUAAACAUCAGAUAUUAUCUUUACCAUCUCAGCCCACACCAAAAUUCCACCUGUGUAUCAUGUCUUAUUUUAAAAUAUUAGAUUGAUAAUUAUUUUAAAUAUAAUAAACAUAUUACAUCUGACAUAUUCCUUUUUACCAAGUAAUUGUCUGCCACUUAUGAUAAGGGGCAAGACUAGAGAAGGAGAUGAACUUUUAGGAAAUGUCUUCCUUUUUCUGAAAUUCACACACUGGGCAUACUGGUAGGUUUGCAGAAAUACGUCCCGGCGUUUCUGUGGCAAUUGCGCAAUCGCAGUGCCAAGUUGAGUAGAACAAACUCUUUUCAUGAAACCACAACACUUUUUCUGUCAGCCUGACUAUAAACGGUCCAUCAGGUACAACACAAAUUUGCUAGGUUUUAAAUUCCCUGAAAAUUCUGAUAUGAGUUCAAUAAUGAUAAUGCUCCCAACCCUGUUAAAGGCUGUUUUUUCAUAUGCCGUGGUAUAAAUAAUAAUAAUACUGCCAGCUUUUAGUUGUGCCAAAAUUACUUUACUGCUCCCCUGCCCUCUUUUAUCUCUAGAUGAAUCCUUGGCCAUGGUACCAUCAGGAGGAGAACUUUGGGAUCAACAUCCUGGGCCACACAGCAGAAUGAGCAAGAGGACGUCCAAACACAGUAUAUUUUGAAGUAAGUGAGACAAUAUACAUUACUAUCUAAACAGCCCCCCACCCCAGGUAAUUAAGUCCAGAGUCAAAAAUUAUCUAACUGCACUGCUGAUAUUUGGAUCUUGGUAUGACAUCAGGAGACAGAUUGCUGGUGUUGGUCCUCAUUCAGUGGGUACUAGCUUUGCAACAGGAAAGAAACUGCCCAAGCCUAGCUUCUGUUUUAGAAAGGAGAUUCAGGCAAUGGUAGCUUUUCCCCUCAGCAAUAGGUUUGUUACCUUGAAUGGCUGUAUAAUGGUCACAAUGUUUCUCUGCAUUUAUUAAUGUUAUACUCUGUGAACUCAAGAAGAGUCUUGAAGCUGGACCAGACCAAAGGUCCACCCAGUCCAGCAGCCUGUUUGUCCACAGUGACACAGCCACGUGUUUCCCGGAAGUCGAUAAGCUGGGGGCAAAGGCAUGAGCCUUCCCACACCAACUCAGCAGUACAUCACUAUGCCGUGGUGGAGAAUUUGGGUGGCUGGGUGUAUGGGGAGCCAAACCUGCACCUUGUGGGUUUUUUCUCUAUGCAGCUCCUUGGAAGUCUGUAAAUUACCAGUAAUGCUAUUAAGCAGGGAUGUCAACAUGAAUAAAAUGGGGGGGGGGAGCUAAGCUCCACCCCACAUAAUCACAUGAUGCGGCACUUCCACACCAUUUGAAUGGCAGUGCCCAUCAAAUUUGGGGGGAGCCUUGCAGGGAGCCUCAGAGGCAACUAAGUGAAGUAAUACACAUCGCCAUGCAAGAGUGACCUCCCCCUACAACACCAUAAAGUCCAGAGUCUAAAAUUACUUAAUAGCAGCACUGGUAAAAGGUAAAGGGACCCCUGGCCAUUAGGUCCAGUCGUGGCCGACUCUGGGGUUGCAGCGCUCAUCUCGCUUUAUUGGCCAAGGGAGCUUCCAGAUCAUGUGGCCAGCAUGACUAAACUGCUUCUGGCGAACCAGAGCAGCGCAUGGAAACGCCGUUUACCUUCCCGUCGGAGCAGAACCUAUUUAUCUACUUGCACUUUGACGUGCUUUCGAACUGCUAGGUUGGCAGGAGCAGGGACCGAGCAACGGGAGCUCACCCAGUCGCGGGGAUUCAAACCGCCGACCUUCUGAUCGGCAAGUCCUAGGCUCUGCGGUUUAACCCACAGCACCAGCAACACUGGUACCAUCAACCUAUUACCAUGCUGUGGCUUGGGUUUCAUAUAUACAGUGCCCUGGUUUGCACUCGUAAAAAUCUGUGAUUGAAACUAAGAACAUAACAGAUGUUUGUUUCCUGUAAAGGAAGUGCAUGCAGUCUCAUUUGCAUUAUAGGUAUAAUACAAAUGAGCAUCUCCAUAUUUGGAAUCACAAUGACGCAAACCAGAUAGAGCAUCUAAAACAGGCCUGAAUAUCUUGAAUGCUUUUUAACAUUUUAGCGCCUUCUUGAAAUCAGUCGUUUUAGUAUGGGAACAGAGCUAAAUACAGAAUCAAGGUAAGUUGAAGCAAUCACUGGGACAGUCUCUGAAAGUUCUUGAGCAUACGAGAGGCUCACAUGUGUAUUUCAUGAAAGAAGCUAUACAGCAACCUAAAUCACUUCAGCUCUUUUUCUAAUCCCAAAGAAAUGAAUCCCUCUCUCAUUAGGCUCCACAUAGGUUCAGAUGUUAUACAUUGUGGUAAUUAUUUCCAAAUCACAAGUGCAAACACUCACCCUGAUUGGAAAAUUAGCAGAUUUCAAACUCGGGUAAUUUGUUCUUAAUGAGGAACUUGUUGAACUGAAUUUAACAAUUAGCUCACUCCCUUUGCUGGCUGAAUGUGAUAGGGUUAUGUGGAAGAGAUCAAAUAUUCAUCUAAGUGAUUUCAGCCAAAAAGCGAGGGGAGGCGAUCAAGGUUGUAAUCUUACGCACACUUACUUGGGAGUAAGUGCCACUGAAUUUAAUGGGACCUAUUUCUGAGUAUACAUACUUAGGAUCCGGCUGCAGAAAAACUCAAUACUCAAUACUUCUAUUCCUCCAGUGCUAUUAUGAAGCAGCCAAGACUGUGAUUCUAAAAGGAGGUGUAUAGUUGAUCAUUCUUCAUACCUGAAGAUGAUAGAACAGAAUAAGGAUGGAUAGAUCUGCCAGUCUCACUUUCUCUCUCUUUCUCAUUUUCACAGUCUGAAAUUCAGUUCACCACAUUUUUGUAUCAGUUUCUGUCUUAAAAAUAUAAAAAAGUCAUCACCAAAAAUUGCCAGCAUUUUAAGGUGUAUUUCCCCUAAUAUGCAUAUUUGGAUGCAAUUUUCCCAACUAGAAGCACUUUCAAUGCUUUUUUCCACUAAUAUGUACAUUGUUAUGCACACCAUCCUCUAAUAUACACAUUUUUUGGUUGGAGAACUGCAUUGCAUAAUUUGGAAAGUAUGGAUUUCGGAAACUAACUGUGUGUAGGUAGAUUUGCAUUAAAAUGCAAACUGACCCAAGUUUCUCUCCCUUCCCUGUAAUAGAAGUACAGUUGACUGUGGGUGCAGAUAUUCUUUUUUGGGGGGAGAAGUGAGUCCCACUAACAGUAGCUGGUCACACAGGCUUUAUAGGCGUUUCAAGCGCUACAAAAAAGAGAAAGAAAAAGCUUGUAUGGGACAGAAAAAAAUGUGUUUCAACCCACCAGUCAACACUAGUUCUAUCCUAACACCAAUAUCUCCAGAAAACUAUAGUGUCUACUAGCAAGAGGAAGAGAGGAAGGGACUCCUGCACUUUGAAGAGUUGUGUGAAGAAGUGAAUUUCAGCAAGUGUAACUUGCGUGGCAAUCUAAACCUUCUGGCAUUCGGAUUUCUACACAACCAUUAAAGAUGUAGGAUAUGUUUUCUCUCACACAUCUGGCCCCCCACGUGAUUCUUUAACAGUCCAAUCUUAUGCAUGUUUAUGCAGAAGAAAGUCCCAAAGGGACCUGCUACCAAAUAAGUGUGCAUAUGAUUUCUUUGUAAGUCUAACUUAAGAGAGCAGCCAGUGCUGUGUGUUAGAUUCUUGAAAAUAAGUGGCAAGCUUUGGCUUAGUGUGGGCACAGUCCAAUAAACCAUAUUUGUUAGAUGAAGAACAAGGAUUGUUCUACUUCAUCUUUAUUCAUUCUCCCUCAUCAGGAGUGCGAACCUUGUGCACCUCCCACCCAGAUGUUGCUAGAAUACAACUUCCAUCUGUUCUAACCAGCAUGACCAACGGUUAGGAAUUAAGGGAGCUGGAUGUAAAAGUCUUUUCUACUUGUUUUAUGAAUGGCAUUUUAUUGUUAAUUUUAUGCUGUUCACUGCCAUGACAUGUUGGAGGUAUAUAGAAAUUUGCCAAUAAAUAAAAUAGAAUAAUCUCAUAAACCAGUGAAUCUAAUGAAACAUUUAUAGGGUUUAUUAAGACACAGUUUAAUCACAGUUCUUGGUUUUGACCCAUGAGAUUAAACCUGGAUCAGAUAUAAUGGGAAACUAUGAUUUAACAAGGUCUGGAAGACUUGCCAGAACGAUGCAAUGACCUUUUUCACACAGGUCCCUUGCAUGAGAGGUUGCAUUUUCAAGUAGCUACCUUGUCAGUGAUUGUAUAUAUAAAUCAGAUUUUGCCUCUUGAGCCCAGGAGUUAAAUUACAAGAAGGCAUUCAGAAUAGCACUUAAAGCAACAUGUGUGGGGUGGUGCGGCUGCAUAAGCACACGGGCUCUGCCCUCCAUCAUCAGCACCUGUCUCCAGCAGGAAAACCACCUCUAUAUGUGGAAGAAAACCAGGAUUUCAUAACCCUGAUUUCCCAGGGUGUUAAAAUGCACAGAAACCACCCUCUGUAGAGUAGGCUUCCCUAGCACAGUCAGUCACCCUGGAUGAUGCAGAGUGUAACAUGGAAAUGGGGGAACCAGAACUAGCACACUCAUGCACACUCUCUGCUCCUUGCAUGUUCCUUGAAACCCUAGGAUUUGUGAGACCUUUGGUUUUCCCAUGUUACUGACUGGCAAAAAGGAACCAGGAACAAAGGAACUUAAACUAUGAUGCAUGUGUUUUUCUCUUAAUGUAUUGUUAUACACUCAAGGAUAUAGAUACUAAGCACAGUUCAAUAAACUGAUAUUUGUCCUAGGGCAACUCUGCUUGUUCUCAGCUCUUUGGCUUACUCUCCUGUUCCUCCUCAUAGCAUUGGUGGCACCUAAGAAGGGGAUGCUGACCUCCUGGCCCCUUCUUUUUUUCU